Caretta caretta (loggerhead turtle) is the source of this 948-nucleotide long non-coding RNA. RefSeq lists it as uncharacterized. The record is from RefSeq and is a predicted model, not a curated record. Lineage: Eukaryota; Metazoa; Chordata; Testudines; Cheloniidae.
GCAACUUGAGACCAUUACUCCUCGUUCUGUCAUCUGCUACCACUGAGAACAGUCUAGAUCCAUCCUCUUUGGAACCCCCUUUCAGGUAGUUGAAAGCAGCUAUCAAAUCCCCCCUCAUUCUUCUCUUCCACAGACUAAACAUCCCAGUUCCCUCACCCACUGUAUAAAAGCCAGUCAGCUGCGAACCAGCUGAGCAGCGAACAGCAGAGCGGCUAACAGAGGGAGUUUGCCUGGAAUCUGAGAGAAGGUACGCUAAGGGCUGCAUUAAGGAGGCUGUGUUGAGAUUGGUUCAGCAGAAAAUCCUGUUCAGAAUUAACUGUGAAGAACCAGGGACUCAAUUUGUACAUCAAGAAAAGCACCAGAACUGUGGGGUUUUCACUGAAUGCUGAGGACAGGAAAGAGGAGUCUGAAGAAUGGAUACAUCCAAGUGUUUUGUAAUGAUUGAUAAAAAGAAAUCAAAAGAAAGUUCACACAGAAAUUUCAUGACCUUCUUGUCUAGAUGGAAGACUACUCCUAAUGUUGAAAUACAACAGGUACAGAAUAGGUGUCAAAAAUUUAGGCCCUGAGCUGAAUGGAUUCUCUUAAUUUUGAGAAACUGACACUCAUUUUGACCCAGAUUGUUGCUAUAAGUAAUUCAAACUAGUAUAAUCCCUACUGCGAUUUAUAUGGACUCUGGCCAUUGGGCCACACUGCCCUGAUCCUAGGAGUGACUUAUAUGGACUCUGGCCGCUAGGGCGUACUACCUGCCUGCUAGGUGGGGGUUAUAUGGACUUGGGCCACUGUGCUACACUGCUCUGACACUCUGAAAAAUGUUACCAACAAUAGCCACCAAAGGCAAGGGAACAGUGGUCAAAUCCUCAGCUCGUGUAAAUUCACUGAUAGAUCUAUGACAAUUAAAACCAGCUGAGGAUUUAGACAAAUACAUUGAAUGCACAUGGAUUUUAAGGC